UAAUUUGUCUGGGAUAGAUCAUCAUCUAGUCAUGGAAAACCCACAUUUGACUACUUAUAAUCAUAUGUUAUCUCAAGCCAGCGACAUCAUUCUUCCCGGAUUAGAGUGAACUCAUCCUCAAGUUUUGUUA
Non-coding RNA from Populus trichocarpa (black cottonwood), 130 nucleotides. Lineage: Eukaryota; Viridiplantae; Streptophyta; Magnoliopsida; Malpighiales; Salicaceae. The record is from Rfam.